UACGUAGGGGGCAAGCGUUAUCCGGAUUUACUGGGUGUAAAGGGAGCGUAGACGGCAGUGCAAGUCUGGAGUGAAAGGCGGGGGCUCAACCCCCGGACUGCUCUGGAAACUGUACGGCUGGAGUGCAGGAGAGGUAAGUGGAAUUCCUAGUGUAGCGGUGAAAUGCGUAGAUAUUAGGAGGAACACCAGUGGCGAAGGUGGCUUACUGGACUGUAACUGACGUUGAGGCUCGAAAGCGUGGGGAGCAAACAGG
RNAcentral lists this ribosomal RNA (253 nucleotides) under uncultured bacterium. RNAcentral's name for it is "partial 16S ribosomal RNA". It matches the Rfam family "Bacterial small subunit ribosomal RNA", at positions 524 to 776 of the family's 1533-position model. The record is from RNAcentral.